AUAUAUCAAUCUCUUCAGCUUUUGGCUUGUUGAGUGUUGGAUGUGGGGGUUUUUUUUGCUGGUCUUCUCAGAUCAGCUCCCCUGAAAUGCAUUAGCAGAACAAUUUGUGGAUCGUUCAUUGGUGUGAUAACUAUCUACGCUAUUGACGCGAAGCAGUUCAGCUUCUAACAGUCCAUUGACUUGGACAAAUUUCAUUA
Molecule: unclassified non-coding RNA, 197 nt
Filed under: Phlegmacium varium
Lineage: Eukaryota; Fungi; Basidiomycota; Agaricomycetes; Agaricales; Cortinariaceae
Description: Cortinarius varius partial internal transcribed spacer 2
Source: RNAcentral